UUCUUUAUUGCUUGCUUUGGGUGCUGGUUAGAUGCUUGAGUUCAGUUUGUGAAGAUUCAUUGAGCUGCACACUUAUGAUGAUUCAGACCUAUCUGGGCAUGCCUGGAGUCCGGUUGGGAUAGGCCUUCUGGAAUUCUAUUUAUAAGACAAGUUAAGUCGCCUCCAGGAACUAAUCCCACUGGAAGAAAGAACCAAGGGAGAGCACAGCCUUCUGAACCUCUAAGAAUCCUCUGAAGAAUCAAAGUGCACAUAGCCAUUGGCAGUGUGCUAGCUGACUGACCUCUGUGCCUGGACAGACAGAACCAAAAUACACUCUGAACAAUAAGCAUGAUCUGCAUAAAAUAGCAGAGAGAGAUGUCUUAAACCAGCCCCCAAAUCCAGGUAAGUUUUUGCCAGUUGUUUCUCUGAGAUGCUUCAAUCAUUG
Mirounga angustirostris (Northern elephant seal) is the source of this 424-nucleotide long non-coding RNA. RefSeq lists it as uncharacterized. The record is from RefSeq and is a predicted model, not a curated record. NCBI's taxonomy places the organism in Eukaryota, Metazoa, Chordata, Mammalia, Carnivora, Phocidae. The transcript has 3 exons.